This 250-nucleotide unclassified non-coding RNA is filed under the name Hevea brasiliensis (rubber tree). The record is from RNAcentral. Lineage: Eukaryota; Viridiplantae; Streptophyta; Magnoliopsida; Malpighiales; Euphorbiaceae.
AGCCGGCGAAGCUCGGGGUGCGGUCGAGGCGGUAUGCGAUGCUGGUUGAGGACGGGGUUGUUAAGGUGCUCAAUUUGGAGGAGGGCGGGGCGUUCACCUUCAGCGGCGCUGGUGACAUUCUCAAGUCCCUUUGAUGGUUCAAUUCCAUUUCUGCUACUUUCCUCUUUCGUGUGAUUUUCAGCUGUGUGCUGGUAGUGUGAAUUUUGACUAUGCAACUUUGUUAGAACUGAAUGCAGAAUGAGUUGUUGUA